RNAcentral lists this Y RNA (95 nucleotides) under Propithecus coquereli (Coquerel's sifaka). Its description in RNAcentral is "Y RNA (ENSPCOG00000000578.1)". It matches the Rfam family "Y RNA". Rfam says of the family: Y RNAs are components of the Ro ribonucleoprotein particle (Ro RNP), in association with Ro60 and La proteins. The Y RNAs and Ro60 and La proteins are well conserved, but the function of the Ro RNP is not known. The record is from Rfam by way of RNAcentral. Lineage: Eukaryota; Metazoa; Chordata; Mammalia; Primates; Indriidae.
GACUGGUCCAAUGGUAGUGGGCUAUCACAACUUAUUAACAUUAGUGUCACUAAAGUUGGUAUACAACCCCCCACUGCUAAAUUUGCCUGGCUUAA